Long non-coding RNA from Myotis davidii, 89 nucleotides. RefSeq lists it as uncharacterized. The record is from RefSeq and is a predicted model, not a curated record. Lineage: Eukaryota; Metazoa; Chordata; Mammalia; Chiroptera; Vespertilionidae. The transcript has 3 exons.
GAAUGCCGGAAGCCGGUCCAUUCUUGCUGCUUGAAACAGUUGCUACAGGGAAGAAACAACUGCACAGCAUAUGUCCCAAGGGAACUGGC